GGAACUUCCGCAUGGACGAAAGUCUGACGGAGCACGCCGCGUGAGUGAUGAAGGUUUUCGGAUCGUAAAGCUCUGUUGUUAGGGAAGAACAAGUACCGUUCGAAUAGGGCGGUACCUUGACGGUACCUAACCAGAAAGCCACGGCUAACUACGUGCCAGCAGCCGCGGUAAUACGUAGGUGGCAAGCGUUGUCCGGAAUUAUUGGGCGUAAAGGGCUCGCAGGCGGUUUCUUAAGUCUGAUGUGAAAGCCCCCGGCUCAACCGGGGAGGGUCAUUGGAAACUGGGGAACUUGAGUGCAGAAGAGGAGAGUGGAAUUCCACGUGUAGCGGUGAAAUGCGUAGAGAUGUGGAGGAACACCAGUGGCGAAGGCGACUCUCUGGUCUGUANCUGACGCUGAGGAGCGAAAGCGUGGGGAGCGAACAGGAUUANAUACCUGGUAGUCCCCCCGUAACGAUGAGUGCUAAUGUUAGGGGUUUCCCCCCUUAUNGUUGCAGCUAAGCAUUAAGCACCCCCCUGGGGAGUACGGUCGCAAGACUGAAACUCAAAGAAUUGACGGGGCCCGCCCAAGCNGUGGAGCAUGUGGUUAAUUNGAAGCNAACGCGAAGAACCUUACCAGGUCUUGACAUCUUNUGACAAUCCUAGAGAUAGGACGUCCCCUUCGGGGGCAGAGUGACAGGUGGUGCAUGGUUGUCGUCAGCUCGUGUCGUGAGAUGUUGGGUUAAGUCCCGCAACGAGCGCAACCCUUGAUCUUAGUUGCCAGCAUUCAGUUGGGCACUCUAAGGUGACUGCCGGUGACAAACCGGAGGAAGGUGGGGAUGACGUCAAAUCAUCAUGCCCCUUAUGACCUGGGCUACACACGUGCUACAAUGGACAGAACAAAGGGCAGCGAAACCGCGAGGUUAAGCCAAUCCCACAAAUCUGUUCUCAGUUCGGAUCGCAGUCUGCAACUCGACUGCGUGAAGCUGGAAUCGCUAGUAAUCGCGGAUCAGCAUGCCGCGGGAAAC
This 1004-nucleotide ribosomal RNA is filed under the name Bacillus spizizenii. RNAcentral describes it as "bacterial SSU rRNA". It matches the Rfam family "Bacterial small subunit ribosomal RNA", at positions 359 to 1367 of the family's 1533-position model. The record is from RNAcentral. Lineage: Bacteria; Bacillati; Bacillota; Bacilli; Caryophanales; Bacillaceae.